UACGUAGGGGACGAGCGUUGUCCGGAGUUACUGGGCGUAAAGCGCCCGCAGGCGGUCCGCUCAGUUUGCGCUGACAGCUCCUGGCUUAACUGGGAGAGCGGUGCGAAGACGGGCGGACUGAGAGGACCAGAGAGGGACAUGGAACUCCGGGUGUAGUGGUGAAAUGCGUAGAUAUCCGGAAGAACACCAAAGGCGAAGGCAGUGUCCUGGCUGGUACCUGACGCUGAGGAGCGAAAGCGUGGGGAGCGAACAGG
Molecule: ribosomal RNA, 254 nt
Filed under: uncultured bacterium
Lineage: Bacteria
Description: partial 16S ribosomal RNA
Rfam family: Bacterial small subunit ribosomal RNA
Source: RNAcentral